CAGAAAAUAGUUUAUAAUAAAAUAUUAAUUUUGGGGAUUAAUGAUAAAGGGAUUCUUUUUUUCUGA
Molecule: transfer RNA, 66 nt
Filed under: Sargus mactans
Lineage: Eukaryota; Metazoa; Arthropoda; Insecta; Diptera; Stratiomyidae
Description: tRNA-Pro
Source: RNAcentral